UUCAAGGAGCAGGAAACCGGAGAUGAUAGCCCCAACUGGUACGAGGAUAGUGCGCUCUGAUGCUGCGUGGAGUGCGUCUAGUUUGACUGCCGGAGCUGGCUGGGUCAUCCUUUCUUCCCCACAGAACAUGACUUUUCAACAACACCUGGAGUUUGUAGCAUCGCCUCUAAUGGCAGAAGGUCUGGCCCUCCGGGAAGCGGUCCAAACCUGCCAGCGACUGAAGCUGCAACAUAUCAGAUUUGAGUCGGAUUCUGCUCAACUAAUCAAGUGCCUUUCUUCAAAUGAAACGAUUGCAAAGUUGCAUAGUGUAGUCUUUGAUAUCCUGAAGCUAUCUGAGUUUUUUUAUUCAGUGUCCUUUGUUUGGUUACCUCGUGAGAGGAAUGUAGAAGCCGAUGCCUUGGCUAAAGGAGCUUUAGCUCUGUUUGAACCCUUAGUGGUUGGUGAGAUUGUUAAUGCUCCCAACUAACUGCUUUCAUUAUAAUAUAUGAGUUCCAAAAAAAAAAAACAACAUCCCUAUUAUUUGUCUAUACAGAUUGUUUAAUGAUUUUCCCGAUAAUGUGGCAUUUUGAUUUAACAAAUAUUAACGGAUUGUCAACUCUUGAAAUUUUAAGCGCUAAAUAAACAUUUUUAGUGAAAAUUUUAAUAACUCUUAAUAAUUUGAAACUUUUAAACUUGAAUGUUAGUUCUUUAAAUUUUGGAAACCAAAAACUAAUAUUUUAUUGAAUAUCCAUGAUAUAUCGACCCUAUAAUGAGACUCAGGCAAGUGCCGAUGACUCAUGCAAAACUGCAAUCUCUUCUCCCUCUUUUUCUGUUGAUCACCAAAUUUACUAAAGUUUGACUUUAUAUAGAGUAAAAUCAUGAUUCUGUUUUAAAACAGUAUAACACAUUUGUCACUCCUUUGAUGCUUUGUCUUGUAAAUGGAUUCUCCAAUUUAAGUAAAACAAAGAAGAAGAAAAACGAUACCUUCAUAUUCCAAGAAGUAACGAAGAUUACAUCUUAAUUUAAAGGAUUGACAACGCACAAAUGGCUGUACAAUAGAAAACUAACGUAACGCCCUUUUUUGUCACGAUACGUAAGGUAACGCCUAAUAUACCAUAAAUCAAGAUUUGGUUAUAAAUUUCGUACGUAUAUAAAAUUAGUUUUGAGGAGAACAUAGUCAAAUUUAUUAUAAACAAAACACAAGACCGUUAGAGAGAGAAAGGGAUGACGAAGUGGAGUGUGGUGAUGAUGAUAGUAGUGUUGGUGAUAGCUACCAUGGAACGAGAAGCAGAAGGAAGUGUAUGUUUAUUUAAUUGCUUGAAAAAGUGCCGUCACAAGGAUCCUUCCGUGAGAAGAUAUUGUAUCUGCGAGUGUGUUUUCUUGUGCACUAUCGACUUCAAGAGCCCACAAGGCAAUCAACUUGCCGAAAGAAAAUCUUUCUACCAAGCUCUGAACCAAACAUGCGGCCAAACACCUAAUGCUCCAUCACCAUCACCACAGAUGAAAACAAGCUUUAGUAAAGAGAUCCAUACGAGAGAAGAUGUUCAUGGCUCAAUUCUCUAGAUUUUGUAUAAGUGAAAUAAAAAUCAAUAAAAUCUUCAAGUGUUUACUUUA
Long non-coding RNA from Brassica napus (rape), 1593 nucleotides. RefSeq lists it as uncharacterized. The record is from RefSeq and is a predicted model, not a curated record. NCBI's taxonomy places the organism in Eukaryota, Viridiplantae, Streptophyta, Magnoliopsida, Brassicales, Brassicaceae. The transcript is spliced from 2 exons.